Molecule: transfer RNA, 85 nt
Filed under: Corallincola sp.
Lineage: Bacteria; Pseudomonadati; Pseudomonadota; Gammaproteobacteria; Alteromonadales; Psychromonadaceae
Description: tRNA-Tyr
Rfam family: tRNA
About the family: Transfer RNA (tRNA) molecules are approximately 80 nucleotides in length. Their secondary structure includes four short double-helical elements and three loops (D, anti-codon, and T loops). Further hydrogen bonds mediate the characteristic L-shaped molecular structure. tRNAs have two regions of fundamental functional importance: the anti-codon, which is responsible for specific mRNA codon recognition, and the 3' end, to which the tRNAs corresponding amino acid is attached (by aminoacyl-tRNA synthetases). tRNAs cope with the degeneracy of the genetic code in two manners: having more than one tRNA (with a specific anti-codon) for a particular amino acid; and 'wobble' base-pairing, i.e. permitting non-standard base-pairing at the 3rd anti-codon position.
Source: RNAcentral
GGAGGGGUUCCCGAGCGGUCAAAGGGAGCAGACUGUAAAUCUGCCGGCUCUGCCUUCGCAGGUUCGAAUCCUGCCCCCUCCACCA